Molecule: ribosomal RNA, 319 nt
Filed under: uncultured Chloroflexota bacterium
Lineage: Bacteria; Bacillati; Chloroflexota
Description: bacterial SSU rRNA
Rfam family: Bacterial small subunit ribosomal RNA
Source: RNAcentral
GAUGAACGCUGGCGGCGUGCUUAAUACAUGCAAGUCGAACGGAGGGUUAGCAAUAACUCUUAGUGGCGAACGGGUGAGUAACGCGUUGGUGACCUGCCCCGAAGACAGGGAUAACAGUUCGAAAGGACUGCUAAUACCCGAUGAAGUUGUGGUGGUUAGAGUGCUACAACAAAAGGAGCAAUCCGCUUUGGGAGGGGCCUGCGUCCCAUCAGCUAGUUGGUAAGGUAAAAGCUUACCAAGGCGAAGACGGGUAGGGGACCUGAGAGGGUGAUCCCCCACACUGGCACUGAAACACGGGCCAGACACCUACGGGUGGCUG